RNAcentral lists this long non-coding RNA (522 nucleotides) under Dermacentor andersoni. Its description in RNAcentral is "uncharacterized LOC126535690". The record is from RNAcentral. Lineage: Eukaryota; Metazoa; Arthropoda; Arachnida; Ixodida; Ixodidae.
GUUCGCGUGGUCUUGUUACGCCUCGCUGGAUCGUGUUCAGUCAUGCCGUCCUUGCGCGGCGUGAUUGUCGUGCGGCUGGCGUGAGCUGUCUCCACGAUGCGCUUCGAGCGUGUCGAUUUCGCCGUUCUUUAUGUUGGCGUUAACGACCUUGAAAGCAACAUGGAUCCACAAGAAAUGUGCGACAACAUCAAGGUAAGUCUACUGAAAUCACAAAAUUUGAAACAAUAAGCGCUAAUAGUUGUGUUUUCUUUUAAAUUUUAGGCCUUGAUUGUUCAACGAGACGGCCCCCGUCGUGCUGGUUUUCAAGGUGCUCCCUCGCUGCCUAGAAGAUGCUGAUGCGGAAUAGAAAAUGCAAAAACGUCGCUUGCUCAACCGCAAAUUGACGGCUACGCUGAAGCGCAUGCCGUGUCUGCGGAAUUUGAACCCCGAGGUAUGGACCCCCUUUUUCCAGCGGCAUGCCGUUACAUACCGUCAGGAACACGCUUGGCUUAUUUCUGACUCGGUAAAAAAUGUUUCACUUUU